GAGGGGGAGAAUAAAAAUUGUAUAUCGAAUGAUUUUCAUAAAAAAAAAUUACUGAGUAUAAGUACAAUGUUAUAUGUUAUUAAACAAAUCUAUACGAUAUUGCAAGUAGAAAGGAUCAAUGAUAAGAUAAAAUCAAUAUAUCAAUUAUGAGAGUUUGAAAUGAGGGAAAAAAGAUUUCGAAGAAAAUAAUGAUACAUCCUCGAGACGAACAAGAUAUAUACUUUGGAAGCGAAUGUUCGCGAGGUGAACUUAAAAUAUUUGAGCUUGUUCUAUGUAUAUGUAUAUGUUAUAUAUAUAUAUAUAUAUAUAUAUAUAUAUAUAUAUAUAUAUAUAUAUAUAUACACACAUGAUAUGUAUGUAGGUACAUCUCUGUUGUGUGUAUAUACGUGUGUGUGUACUCGGUCGCAUGCAGACCGGCGGCAGGUGCCUCUCGACGCUUCGAGGUUAUGUCGGCUUUCGCAUUGCGGAACGGCGCACGUGAUCGCGGUGUCGUGACCUGGAAUUUUGAUCCAGUUUUGGUCGGGUUAUGAGCCAAAAAAAAAAACAAAAAAAAUUAUUCGAUCUAUCGAAAUUUGUUUGCGCCAUCUUGGAACGAUUGCGAUUCUCGAAGUGCAUCAUCUUGAGAAAAAAGAAAGAAGAAUACUGAUCAUCGCGCGUUAGUAGCGCUCGACGUUUCAAGAUAUGCCACGUCCUCCGAAGACAUUGUCGACAAUCUCAGAAGCUGAGUCACUCGACGACGGUUAAGCUAUGAGUCAGAGAAAAAGGCGGAGCUAGCUUAUUGCUUAAAGAAUUGUAUUCUGACUGAGAUGGUAUGUAUCGAAAUGUGCGAACAGGUGGGCGGUCUGCAUCGUCGUCGUUGUCGUCGCGUCAUUUAGUCGUAUUAGAUAUCUCUUGUAAUAUUUCCAAAUUAUUCUUUAAAGAAAAGAAAAAAAGGAGAGGAACACAUUUUAUAUGAAAAGAUAAAAAUAAAGUAGAAUGCAAUUUUGAUUGGAAUAAAGAAUUAGCGUAUUAAGAAUUGGGUGCUGGUGUAAAGAGAGAGGGAGAGGGUUCGAAUGUAUUAACUAAUACACAUACGAAUAAUACAUAUGCGAAAUAUUGGAGAUCAUAUCGAAUAAAGCCACGUUGACGUUCUCUAUUCAUCGUUUGCAUCGAAGAAAGCACUUGUGAAAGGUCCUCGGUAAACUAGCGCAGAACAGCUUACACAGAGAGAAAGAGAGAGAGAGAGAGAGAGAAGCAAGCAUAUUGUUCGAUCAUACGAGGAUGAACUUCUUAAACUAGUUACGAUUUGCUAUGAGGACUCGAGAGAGCAGAGUAGUGUCUAGACCUCACCCCAAUAGAACAGGGUAGGAAACAUAAAGGUUAGGUUGUAUUGUAGUAGUGAUACACCGAGAAAACUCUUUUUGCAGAGAGUAGACGAGAGAAAGAGAGAGAGAGAAUACAUACUAUACCUACAUUUACUAAGAACACAAUAUAGAGUUUAUCGUUGUUUGACCUUAUAACUUUAGAUGAAACGAUUGUUAGUUUUAAAUCUUUAAUAGAAUUAUAUUUUAAAUAAGACAAUUAUUUCACAAUUUUGUCUUUUUGCAUCGUUAAUUGAUAGUACAUGAUUAUAUCGAUUAUAUAAUGUGUACUACAAUUGAUGUGUACUUGGUAUUGCAAGUCGUGUUGUGUCAUGUAUGGAAUACCACUGACGUCCACUCGUUGAAUGCGGCCCAUCAAUAAAAGGGCUCUUCGUUACCUGACUACCGGUGAACUAACGAGUGGAUAUCUCUUGAAGGGAGACGCGUCGCGUCGCGUCACGUCGCUGCCAUACGCGCAGCCCUCUCCAAAAUGCACCUAUAAGUGACUUUCUUCUUUUUUCUCUCUCUCUCUCUCUCUCUCUCUCUCUCUCUCUCUCUCUCUCUUCUUUCUUUUUUACUUUACUAACUAUACCUAACCUAUAUUACAUGUGUGUAUGUAUAUAUAUAUAUAUACAUAUAUAAUAUAUACCACAAUUACCAUGUAAGGAUUAUUAAUCCUGAUAAAAAUCAAUGUUAAAUAAUAACUUUUGAAUAUAUUCACGUUAAACUCUUAUUUUUCUUUGUAUCGUAUACAGGGUGGGUCGAAAGUUUAUAAAUGAUUUUUUUUUUUUAUCGAUUGCUCCGUUCCCAUUUUUCGAGACUACAUAAGCUUAUUUUUCUUUUCUAUUACAAAGUCUAAAAAGUCUAAACUACAAGCCUAAGAACUUUUGCUCCACCCUGUGAAUAUAUAUAUAUAUAUAUAUAUAUAUAUAUAUAUAUAUAUACACGAAAUGAUUUUGCGUAAGAUGUGAAAAAUCGUCUGAGAAACAUAUCGAUCAAUCGUUUGACAAAGCAAACAUGGCGCUCGACUCGAUGAUACUCGUGGAUAGAUAUAAACGGUAUGGAAUCUCGAAGCAGUCAGUCUUUGGUACUAUCAGUGUUACCAACUCAUAUACGCGUUCCUCAAAUAUCAUCGGCAUGACUUACGAACACGUAUGUAAUGUAAAUUCGCACAUGCAAAUAUAUACGAGAUAUAGUAGUGACUGUGUAUGGCGCGAUAGCUAUAUGGCGCACGCGAAAUACUAGUUUAAAGAAAAAAAAAAGUUUUAUUUAUUUGAAACGUACAGAAAUCAGAAAUCUUCAAGGAGGAAAGAGAGAGAGAGAGAGAGAGAGAGUGUGUUGAAGCUAUUAUCAAAAUCAAAGAUUAACAUAAGAAGGUUAAAAAACAAGUAUACAUUCAAGAGGGGACGAUUAGCGUAGGUGUUUGAAGCAUGGAACGAUGCAAAUCCGAAGAUCUUCAAAUUCUUCCUCUCCUUCCUUGGCCCACCUCAUUCCCAGGUUCGAAUUCGGACCACCCAAGGCCCAUUUUUCAUAUACCAAAAAAAUAUUUAAAAGUGCAAGAGGGAGAGAAAUUAAUUUACAAAUAAAAAAAAAACAAA
Vespa mandarinia (Asian giant hornet) is the source of this 2938-nucleotide long non-coding RNA. The record is from RefSeq and is a predicted model, not a curated record. Lineage: Eukaryota; Metazoa; Arthropoda; Insecta; Hymenoptera; Vespidae.